GACGAACGCUGGCGGCGUGCCUAAUACAUGCAAGUCGAACGCUGAAGGAGGAGCUUGCUCUUCUGGAUGAGUUGCGAACGGGUGAGUAACGCGUAGGCAACCUGCCUGGUAGCGGGGGAUAACUAUUGGAAACGAUAGCUAAUACCGCAUAAGAGUAGAUGUUGCAUGACAUUCACUUAAAAGUUGCACUUGCAUCACUACCAGAUGGACCUGCGUUGUAUUAGCUAAGUGGUGGGGUAACGGCUUACCAAGGCGACGGUACAUAGCCGGCUCGAGAGGGGGAUCGGGCCACAUGGGAAUGAGGCACGGCCCAAGAUUCCACGGGGAGCAGCAGGAGGGGAACUUCGGAAAAUGAGGGAAGGCUGGCCGAAGAACGCCGCGGUGGUUGAAGAGGGUUUUGGGUCGGAAAACUCUGUUGUAAGGGAAGAACGAGUGUGAGGGUGAAAAGUUCACGCUGUGACGGUAUCUAACCAGAAAGCGACGGCUAACUACGUG
Molecule: ribosomal RNA, 495 nt
Filed under: uncultured bacterium
Lineage: Bacteria
Description: partial 16S ribosomal RNA
Rfam family: Bacterial small subunit ribosomal RNA
Source: RNAcentral